Molecule: non-coding RNA, 24 nt
Filed under: Arabidopsis thaliana (thale cress)
Lineage: Eukaryota; Viridiplantae; Streptophyta; Magnoliopsida; Brassicales; Brassicaceae
Source: RNAcentral
CCAAUGAGUUUAGGCUUCAUGGGU